CUCAGAGGAAGGGAGACAACUGAGCUUCCCAUGAGACAAAUUCACUGAGCUCCAAACAGCAGGCGACUGGGCAAGUCUACCAAAGGAUUUCCCCUUGUAUUCUGGCCUGGGGUGCUGUCCAGGUCAGCAGGUCUCUCUCUCUCCACAGUUGGAACACAGAUCCAGACAACGUCUCCUAGAGACAGCCCAGGAGAGUGAAAAGAGCAGAGGCUGUGUGUUUUCUCACAACUCCACCAGCUCGGUGAACUUGGGCAAGUCACUUGACCUCUGUGGGACUCAAUAACACGGUCUAUAAAACAUGACAACAUUGUCAACCCAGAAAGCAAUCAAUAAAGUGUGCAUCCUCAGGCAUCCAGCCAUCUGACCAUGACCACAGGUUGACAGACACUGUCCUAUAAAGCUCUGGUUGCCCCAAAAAGGAGGUUGGACUAAAUUGAAUCUUCUGAUUCCAAUUUUAUGAACUGCAAUAAAAUCUCUCUAGGGUGCAGGAUUACAUCUGUGUUGAAGAAUGACUACAUUAAGACAAUUAUCAGACGCUCUUUAUGCUUCCAAAUUGGAGGCACUUUAUCUAUGCUGACACUAGGUGUACACAGUUUGAAAGGAAUAAAUGCACCCUCAGCCAGGGGAAAUGGAGAAACAAAAAGGCUGUACCUGGUGUAAGCCUUGCUGAUGGCAGAACAAGUGGGCCAAUUCUGUGUGUCACAGAAUUGCAGCGAUUCUGGUAGGAGAUUUUCACGACUUCAUAAGAACUUAAUAGUAAUCAAAGAGCUUUUCCUCCUUCUGUUAAAAAAGAAAAAGUAGGGGGCUGAGCGGACAGGGGAAAUCUUUCACCUGAGAGUUAGAAGGGACCAGUUUCCCAUUCACAGGCUAGUCCUGCAGGACCACGUCAUUAGCCAUGAAUGCUUUGUUCUUUUGCAGAAUGUUGUGCAGCCCUGAUGAGUUUGGCUUUGAGUGUCUCCCUGGAGGAGGGAAGACUUAGUGUUGGGAACACAGCAGGCUAAGCCUGUGUUCUAAGGAGAGUGUACAGUUGCUAAUAAAGUGUUUGGAUUUUGCUUUUCUUCUUUUCA
RNAcentral lists this long non-coding RNA (1067 nucleotides) under Bos indicus x Bos taurus (hybrid cattle). Its description in RNAcentral is "lncRNA (ENSBIXG00005030899.1)". Lineage: Eukaryota; Metazoa; Chordata; Mammalia; Artiodactyla; Bovidae. The record is from RNAcentral.